CAGCCUGAUCCAGCCAUGCCGCGUGAUUGAUGAAGGCCCUAGGGUUGUAAAGAUCUUUCAACAGUGAAGAUAAUGACGGUAACUGUAGAAGAAGCUCCGGCUAACUCCGUGCCAGCAGCCGCGGUAAUACGGAGGGAGCUAGCGUUGUUCGGAAUUACUGGGCGUAAAGCGCGCGUAGGCGGAUUAUUAAGUCAGAGGUGAAAUCCCGGGGCUCAACCCCGGAACUGCCUUUGAUACUGGUAGUCUAGAGGUCGAGAGAGGUGAGUGGAAUUCCGAGUGUAGAGGUGAAAUUCGUAGAUAUUCGGAGGAACACCAGUGGCGAAGGCGGCUCACUGGCUCGAUACUGACGCUGAGGUGCGAAAGUGUGGGUAGCAAACAGGAUUAGAUACCCUGGUAGUCCACACCGUAAACGAUGAAUGCUAGUCGUCAGGGGACUUGUCCUUUGGUGACGCAGCUAACGCAUUAAGCAUUCCGCCUGGGGAGUACGGUCGCAAGAUUAAAACUCAAGAAA
RNAcentral lists this ribosomal RNA (511 nucleotides) under uncultured Paracoccaceae bacterium. RNAcentral's name for it is "bacterial SSU rRNA". It matches the Rfam family "Bacterial small subunit ribosomal RNA", at positions 379 to 908 of the family's 1533-position model. Lineage: Bacteria; Pseudomonadati; Pseudomonadota; Alphaproteobacteria; Rhodobacterales; Paracoccaceae. The record is from RNAcentral.